This 497-nucleotide ribosomal RNA is filed under the name uncultured bacterium. Its description in RNAcentral is "partial 16S ribosomal RNA". It matches the Rfam family "Bacterial small subunit ribosomal RNA", at positions 28 to 507 of the family's 1533-position model. The record is from RNAcentral.
GAUGAACGCUGGCGGCGUGCCUAAUACAUGCAAGUCGAGCGAACAGACGAGGAGCUUGCUCCUCUGACGUUAGCGGCGGACGGGUGAGUAACACGUGGAUAACCUACCUAUAAGACUGGGAUAACUUCGGGAAACCGGAGCUAAUACCGGAUAAUAUAUUGAACCGCAUGGUUCAAUAGUGAAAGACGGUUUUGCUCUAACUUAUAGAUGGAUCCGCGCCGCAUUAGCUAGUUGGGAAGGUAACGGCUUACCAAGGCAACGAUGCGUAGCCGACCUGAGAGGGUGAUCGGCCACACUGGAACUGAGACACGGUCCAGACUCCUACGGGAGGCAGCAGUAGGGAAUCUUCCGCAAUGGGCGAAAGCCUGACGGAGCAACGCCGCGUGAGUGAUGAAGGUCUUCGGAUCGUAAAACUCUGUUAUUAGGGAAGAACAAAUGUGUAAGUAACUAUGCACGUCUUGACGGUACCUAAUCAGAAAGCCACGGCUAACUACGUG